GUAGGGAAUAUUGGGCAAUGGUCGGAAGACUGACCCAGCCAUGCCGCGUGCAGGAAGACGGCCCUCUGGGUUGUAAACUGCUUUUAUCUGGGAAGAAAAAGGCCAUGCGUGGCAAAUUGCCGGUACCAGAUGAAUAAGCACCGGCUAACUCCGUGCCAGCAGCCGCGGUAAUACGGAGGGUGCGAGCGUUGUCCGGAUUUAUUGUGUUUAAAGGGCGCGUAGGCGGCUGAUUAAGUCAGCGGUGAAAGACUUCGGCUUAACCGGAGCAGUGCCGUUGAUACUGGUUGGCUUGAGUGUCGGAGGGGUACAUGGAAUUGAUGGUGUAGCGGUGAAAUGCAUAGAUACCAUCAGGAACACCGAUAGCGAAGGCAUUGUACUGGCCGACAACUGACGCUGAUGCACGAAAGUGUGGGGAUCGAACAGGAUUAGAAACCCGGGUAGUCC
RNAcentral lists this ribosomal RNA (444 nucleotides) under uncultured bacterium. RNAcentral's name for it is "partial 16S ribosomal RNA". It matches the Rfam family "Bacterial small subunit ribosomal RNA", at positions 354 to 796 of the family's 1533-position model. The record is from RNAcentral.